AUUGAACGCUGGCGGCAGGCCUAACACAUGCAAGUCGAGCGGAUGAAGGGAGCUUGCUCCUGGAUUCAGCGGCGGACGGGUGAGUAAUGCCUAGGAAUCUGCCUGGUAGUGGGGGAUAACGUCCGGAAACGGGAGCUAAUACCGCAUACGUCCUGAGGGAGAAAGUGGGGGAUCUUCGGACCUCACGCUAUCAGAUGAGCCUAGGUCGGAUUAGCUAGUUGGUGGGGUAAAGGCCUACCAAGGCGACGAUCCGUAACUGGUCUGAGAGGAUGAUCAGUCACACUGGAACUGAGACACGGUCCAGACUCCUACGGGAGGCAGCAGUGGGGAAUAUUGGACAAUGGGCGAAAGCCUGAUCCAGCCAUGCCGCGUGUGUGAAGAAGGUCUUCGGAUUGUAAAGCGCUUUAAGUUGGGAGGAAGGGCAGUAAGUUAAUACCUUGCUGUUUUGACGUUACCAACAGAAUAAGCACCGGCUAACUUCGUG
This 484-nucleotide ribosomal RNA is filed under the name uncultured bacterium. RNAcentral describes it as "partial 16S ribosomal RNA". It matches the Rfam family "Bacterial small subunit ribosomal RNA", at positions 30 to 507 of the family's 1533-position model. The record is from RNAcentral.